UACGAAGGGGGCUAGCGUUGUUCGGAUUUACUGGGCGUAAAGCGCACGUAGGCGGAUCGUUAAGUCGGGGGUGAAAUCCUGGAGCUCAACUCCAGAACUGCCUUCGAUACUGGCGAUCUAGAGUCCGGAAGAGGUGAGUGGAACUCCUAGUGUAGAGGUGGAAUUCGUAGAUAUUAGGAAGAACACCAGUGGCGAAGGCGGCGCACUGGUCCGGUACUGACGCUGAGGUGCGAAAGCGUGGGGAGCAAACAGG
RNAcentral lists this ribosomal RNA (253 nucleotides) under uncultured bacterium. RNAcentral describes it as "partial 16S ribosomal RNA". It matches the Rfam family "Bacterial small subunit ribosomal RNA", at positions 524 to 776 of the family's 1533-position model. The record is from RNAcentral.